This 774-nucleotide ribosomal RNA is filed under the name uncultured Neocallimastigales. RNAcentral describes it as "partial large subunit ribosomal RNA". It matches the Rfam family "Eukaryotic large subunit ribosomal RNA", at positions 23 to 634 of the family's 3401-position model. The record is from RNAcentral. Lineage: Eukaryota; Fungi; Neocallimastigomycota; Neocallimastigomycetes; Neocallimastigales.
ACACGCAUGACACACUGCAUAUCAAUAAGCGGAGGAAAAGAAACUAACAAGGAUUCCCUUAGUAACGGCGAGUGAAGCGGGAAGAGCUCAAAUUUGAAAUCUUCAAGGUUCUACCUUGACGAAUUGUAGUUUAUAGAAGUGUUUUCUGUUAGUAGAGUGGCAAAAGUUCUUUGGAAUAGGACAUCAUAGAGGGUGAGAAUCCCGUAUUUGGUCAUUCUUUCUAGCUUUGUGAUACACUUUCAACGAGUCGGAUUGUUUGGGAAUGCAGUCCAAAAUGGGUGGUAAAUUUCAUCUAAAGCUAAAUAUUGGCGAGAGACCGAUAGCGAACAAGUACCGUGAGGGAAAGAUGAAAAGAACUUUGAAAAGAGAGUUAAACAGUACGUGAAAUUGUCAAAAGGGAAGCGUUUGACACCAGUGUUGUUUUCUCGAAAAUCAAUUAAAAAUGGUGGGAUGUUGUGUUGUAUUGACUUUAUCAGCUUUCUGCACUUUUUUCCUAUCUUUUUUAAUGCACUUUUCGUUUAACAAGUCAACAUCAAUUUCUUUUGUUGUAAAAGAGUCAUUGGAAGGUGGCUUUCUUUUCGGAGAAAGUGUUUAUAGCCUUUGGCUUCCGCAAUCGGAGAGAUUGAGGUCUGCAGCGUAGAUCCUUCGGGGUUAGAUACAUUUGUGCUAAGUUAUAGCUUUUCAUAGACAACUUGUUGACUAUGUUAAGUCUUGUAAUUUACUCGCAGAUGCUAUUUUACCUACGCUUAGGAUGUUGAUAGUCACAGCGUGUAC